This 420-nucleotide long non-coding RNA is filed under the name Elaeis guineensis (African oil palm). RNAcentral describes it as "long non-coding RNA (EGUI_LNC079252)". Lineage: Eukaryota; Viridiplantae; Streptophyta; Magnoliopsida; Arecales; Arecaceae. The record is from RNAcentral.
GUAGGCCUUUUGUGCCGAACCACGUAAAUCUUGAUUUUUUUGUCUUUAUUUAUUUAUGCCUGCAAUGUGUUUGGUGAAUUGUCUCAAAGAGAUUAGACUUUAGAUCAAAAGCCUAGGUCGAUCCAAUCCGGUGCGCGUGACCUCAACAGCUCUUGUGUCCCAUCCCAUCAGUAGAUAUUUGUAUCAAGCAUAUCUUGUGUUAUAGCCAUACCAUCCUCCCAAAAUUUAGUGAUUUUCCAUUACAUAUAUUAUUUUCAGCAUACCUCUUUUUAGAUAUUUAAACCAUCCAUGGUUUUAGUUUUACCUUGGGUAUGAAAACAUGGCAAGUAUGGGUCCUCCUGCUUAAUUAGAGAGAGGAAGAUGGAGAGGUAGAGAGACAAGGAGCGGGGAGAUCAUUAAAAAGAGAGUACAUGAGAGCAG